RNAcentral lists this unclassified non-coding RNA (189 nucleotides) under plant metagenome. RNAcentral describes it as "partial contains small subunit ribosomal RNA and internal transcribed spacer 1". The stretch from base 1 to 46 matches the Rfam family "Eukaryotic small subunit ribosomal RNA", at positions 1786 to 1831 of the family's 1831-position model. The record is from RNAcentral.
AAGUCGUAACAAGGUUUCCGUAGGUGAACCUGCGGAAGGAUCAUUACAUUCAGUAGCCUAGCUACUUGUUUACACCCUUGUUUUUUCGCGUACCUAUUGUUUCCUCGGUGGGCUUGCCUGCCGGUUGGACAAAACUUAUAACCUUUUUAAAUCUUCAAUCAGCGUCUGAAUUAUACAUAAUAAUUACAA